This is a long non-coding RNA of Oncorhynchus tshawytscha (Chinook salmon), 955 nucleotides long. The record is from Ensembl. Lineage: Eukaryota; Metazoa; Chordata; Actinopteri; Salmoniformes; Salmonidae.
CACCUGUUUAGGAGAGGUGCUGGCUAGGGGAGGAGAACACCUGUUUAGGAGAGUAGAACACCUGUUUAGGAGAGGUGCUGGCUAGCAGAGUAGAACACCUGUUUAGGAGAGGUGCUGGCUAGGGGAGGAGAACACCUGUUUAGGAGAGGUGCUGGCUAGGGGAGUAGAACACCUGUUUAGGAGAGGUGCUGGCUAGGGGAGUAGAACACCUGUUUAGGAGAGGUGCUGGCUAGGGGAGGUGCUGGCUAGGGGAGUAGAACACCUGGAAAAGGGUGAUGAAGACAACUCCUCUGUGUAAAUGGUUAUUAAAUGAUCUGAGCAUCGGAGCUCCUAGAGUGUGUCUCUCAUUUCUCUCUUGUAGUAACAACACUGCUGUAGCUCUGUCAGGUUUGAGUGUGUCUCUCAUUUCUCUCUCGUAGUAACAACACUGCUGUAGCUCUCUCAGGUUUGAGUGUGGCUCUCAUUUCUCUCUUGUAGUAACAACACUGCUGUAGCUCUCUCAGGUUUUCCGAGGCCCUGAAGAGUUCUGGCCAAUCAGCCGUGUUUAUAGGGAAGCGUGCUGACAACACCCUGGAUCUGUCCAAUCAGCAGUGGCACAGCUCAGACAGAGAGGUCUUGUCUUCCUUUAAAAGAGGACUAGACUCUCACUCGUUCAGCGUUGUCCAGUUGUCUUCCUUCUCUGACCAUCUGAAGGCUAUGAUCUCUACUGACCAUCACUACCACACGGUAUAAAUCUGUCUACCUCUCUGUCUGUCAUAUCUACCACACGGUAUGAAUCUGUCUACCUCUCUGUCUGUCAUAUCUACCACUACCACACAGUAUGAAUCUGUCUUCCCUCUCUGUCUGUCAUAUCUACCACUACCACACAGUAUGAAUCUGUCUGCCUCUCUAUCUGUCAUAUCUAUCACUACCACACAGUAUGAAUCUGUCUGCCUCUCUAUCUGUCAUAUCUACC